This is a long non-coding RNA of Solanum lycopersicum (tomato), 2966 nucleotides long. RefSeq lists it as uncharacterized. The record is from RefSeq and is a predicted model, not a curated record. NCBI's taxonomy places the organism in Eukaryota, Viridiplantae, Streptophyta, Magnoliopsida, Solanales, Solanaceae.
UUGUGGGCUAGCUACACCAGUGUUAUUCAGGUGAGUCACGUAUUUGGGACUUCGAAUACCAUCAAGGCAUUUCAUCGCGGCUUAUAUACCGGAUUUAUCUCCAAAACAACUCUCUGUGUCAUCACAUCCAGUUCAAAAAGUGUGGAAAUCUGAACACUCUUUAUAAUUUAGGAGUCUUAGAUAUGUUGUACAGUAGCUCAGUGGCAUUCACUUCUUUUGCAUUCCCUUUGUAGCUUUAGCCUUUAACAAAUGUUGCUUGGAUGCUACAAAAUUGCAGAACAUUAUAUUGGGGUAUCCGACAAUGCAUCCGUUGACAUUGCUUGCACAAAUUAUGUGCAGAGUUACUCUAAACAUGGUGUGCAUUGUUAGUUUGGGGAAAAACUUGCAUACAUUCCCUCAAGUGUCUAAUAUAAUUGUUAAAGGUCUAUACACCAACCAACACUUUCAUUCUCUUCUGGAGAGAGCUCGUUGUAUUCUCUCAAAUGUGUGAUUGUGUCAUCGUCUUGAUUUUUGGGCUGAGGCUAUUUCUACAAUUUGUUAUCUUGUCAAUCGAUCUCCAUACUCAUCCAUUAACAUCAAAAUUCCAGAAGAAGUUUGAUCAAGUCCUAUGAAUUUCUCAAAUGUAAAAGUACUUGGAUACCCUGCUUUUGCCCAUGUUAAUGAUAGGAAGUUAGCUCCAACGGUUGUUAAAUGCUUAUUUCUUGGCUAUGCUUCUGAGUCGAAAGGUUAUCGUUUAUUGUGCCAGAUUUGAGAAAAAUUAUUUUGAGUAGAGACAUUACUUUUAAAGAAAAUGCAUUGUUGUGUUCUGAAAAAGAGCAUUCUGUAUUAUCUUAUGGUAUAAAUGAUCAACAAGGUACCUAUGAGAUGGGGGAGUUAGAAAUGAGAACUAAAUCUCAUAAUAUUGACCCUAUCUCUUUUACAGUUCCACAGUCAACCAGUGAUGCUCGUGUUGGUGAACAAUUUUCCAGUACUAUAUGUCCCGUUGAGCCAAAAUUUGUUGAUGAUUCUUCUAUUGCUCAUAAUAGACCAAGGAGAGUUAUUAGAAAACCCAACAGAGGCAAUCACUAGUUCUAAUUCAUCUCAGUGGCUGGAAGCAAUGCAAGAAGAAAAGUCUGCAUAAGAAUACGACAUAGGAUUUAUGUGAGCUUCCUAAAGGUCAUCGUGCACUAGACUGCAAAUGGAUCUAUAAACGAAAAGAUGGGAUUCCUUGGGUUGAAAAUUCAAUAUGGAAACCUUGUUUAGUUGUCCAAGGCUUUGCCCAAAAUGAAGGUAUUGAUUUAAUGAAGUUUUCUCUCCAUUAGUUUGUAAUUCUUCCAUAAGAGUAAUUCUUGCCUUUGUUGCACUAUUUGAUUUGGAAUUGGAACAAUAAGAUGUCAAAACUGCUUUUCUGCAUGGAGAAUUGAAGGACGAAAUUUAUAUGAAUCAACAUGAGGGUUUUGGUGUUCAUGAAAAUUAACAAUGUGUUUGUCGUUUCCAGAAGGUCCUUGUAUGGACUUAAACAAGCACCUACACAGUGGUACAAGAGAUUUGAUGCUUUUAUGGUUAGUCAAAGCUAUACCAAAAGUCAAUGUGAUAAUAGUGUGUACUUUAAAUAGUCUUCAAAUGGUUCAUUUAUUUACUUUUUAUUAUAUGUGGAUGAAAUGUUGAUUGCUUUAAAAGACAUGUCUUUGAUCAACAAGUUAAAGUCUCAACUUAGUAAUGAGUUUUAGAUGAAGAACCUUGGUGCAGCAAAGAAGAUUACAAGAAUGGAAAUUCAUAGAGAACGACAAGCUGCAAAGCUAUACUUGUCUCAGAAAAAUACAUUGAGAAGAUCCUUGACAAGUUGAACAUGAGUAAGAGAAGGCCUGUCUCAACUCCUCUAGCAGCUCACUUCAAGAUAUCUUCUGAAUUUUGUUCAAAAACAGAUGAAGAACUUGAACUGAUGUCUAACAUUCCCUACUCUAGUGCAGUUGGUAGUCUUAUGUAUGUCAUGGUUUGCACUAGACCCGAUCUUACAUAUGCAGUGAGUAUGGUGAGUCGGUAUAUGCACAAUCCUGGCAAGUAUCAUUUGGAUGUGGUGAAAUGGAUUUUCUGAUACUUGAUAGGUACAGUUAAUCAUGGCUUAGUUUUUGACAUGAAUAAGAUGAUAUCGAAUGAUGUUGUUGGGUUUGUUGAUUCUGAUUAAGUUGGUGAUCUUGAUAGGCGCAGAUCUCUAUCCGGAUAUAUCUUGUCUUUAUGUUUAGGUUCUAUCAGUUGGAAAGCAUCUUUGCAAUCCAUUCUUGCUCUAUCCAGUAUAGAAGCAGAAUAUGUUGCAGCUAUAGAAGGUGAGAAGGAGGCUACAUGGUUGUGUGGUCUUGAGCUUGGUGUUCAACAAGAUACUAUUAUUGUGUUUUCAGAUAGUCAUAGUGCAAUACAUCUAAUGAAAAAAAUGAUGCAUAUCAUUCCGAGAAUAAGCAUAUUGAAAUAUCAUUAUAUCAGAAACACAAUGACUAAGGGAGAGAUUGUAGUCAAGAAAAUUUACACUACAGAAAAUCCUACAGAUAUGCUUACUAAGUCACUUCCUCUUCUUAACUUUAAACAUAUUUUGAACUUAGCUAGUGUUUACAACACUUGAUUUCCCUUGGGGGCUUUUAUGGUAAUGACAAGCAUGUGCUAAAUUUGAGCCAUGGUGGAUAUAAAUUCUUUUUCUUGUUGAUUUUGCCUACUCAUGUCAGCAUUUCUUAGGACUUUCCCAGUUCAGGAAGGCUGAACAGAUCAUGGGAUUAUGGUGCAGUAAUGGACACCAUUUUCAUGGGAAGUGGAGCCUAAUUUUAUGGGCAUUUUCUAUUUCUUUGUACCAGAUAGUGAAGCCUAAGUUUCUGAGCAUGUUCUGUUUUGUGACAUAAAAACAAAAGAAUUUAGUUGUCUUUUUUCUUUUCCUCAUAUUUGAGUUCCGUAGAACUUUAAAUUGUACUCUACCUUCAAUAUAGUGAAAUUGCUCGUCAUUA